Long non-coding RNA from Canis lupus familiaris (dog), 656 nucleotides. RefSeq lists it as uncharacterized. NCBI's taxonomy places the organism in Eukaryota, Metazoa, Chordata, Mammalia, Carnivora, Canidae. The transcript is spliced from 4 exons. The record is from RefSeq and is a predicted model, not a curated record.
UCUAAAAGUGACUGAUGGGACCCUGGUGAGCCUGUGUCAAGACAAGGGUCUCCUGCCCUCGGGAAGGGCUCCCAGAAGAAGGACAUGCUUGAGGAACUAGCUUGUAGAGUCCCAGCCUGCAGGUGAAGGCAUGGCUUCCAGCUGUAUCAUCGAGGAUAUGCCAUUCACCCUCUCAGAUCCCAGCAGGAAAAAACGCUUCAGGGACCAGAGAUUGAGCUUGCACUCAGAAGAAAACCUCGUGGAAACUUGAUUCUGCUUCUGUAUCAGUUCUCAAAGCUUGCCAGUGGAUGUCCUGGGGAAGGCAGACACGUUUCUCCUAGUGAUGACAAGUGGCAUUAAAAUGAUUUGUCACCAAAUUCCAAGUUUACUGAGUGCCUGUGAUGGGCCAUGGUCACUGCUAGAGUUACAGCCAUGAACAAGACCCAAAUGCCCUCUGCAUCAUAAGGGCACAUAUACUCCUGUGCAUUCAGAUAUGAAGCAUAUAAUGUCACGAGUCAUACUAGAAUUUGGGUAAGUUACACUUCAAACGUUAGUGAAAGUUCGCCAUGAGCCUCUGCUGUGUCCUCAGCUACAGCGUUAGGGGAGUUUUCACCACUGAUGAGCCCAUCCUCCUGGCUGAGUAGUCAAAUCUUGUCCAAAUGUAGUCAGGAUAGGUG